This is a small nuclear RNA of Meriones unguiculatus (Mongolian gerbil), 105 nucleotides long. The record is from Ensembl. NCBI's taxonomy places the organism in Eukaryota, Metazoa, Chordata, Mammalia, Rodentia, Muridae.
GUGCUCGCUUCAGCAGCACACAUACUAAAACUCCAACGAUACAGACAAGAUUAGCAUGGCCUAGGCAAGGGUGACACACAGAUUCGAGAAGCCUUCCAUAUUUUU